ACAGCAGUAGCCGCGGGAAUACGAAGGGGGCUAGCGUUGCUCGGAAUGACUGGGCGUAAAGGGCGCGUAGGCGGCGAUCAAAGUCAGGCGUGAAAUUCCUGGGCUCAACCUGGGGGCUGCGCUUGAUACUUGGUUGCUUGAGUGGGGAAGAGGGUCGUGGAAUUCCCAGUGUAGAGGUGAAAUUCGUAGAUAUUGGGAAGAACACCGGUGGCGAAGGCGGCGACCUGGUCCUUGACUGACGCUGAGGCGCGAAAGCGUGGGGAGCAAACAGGAUUAGAUACCCCCGUAGUCCCUGUCUCUUAUAA
This 305-nucleotide ribosomal RNA is filed under the name uncultured bacterium. Its description in RNAcentral is "partial 16S ribosomal RNA". It matches the Rfam family "Bacterial small subunit ribosomal RNA", at positions 508 to 809 of the family's 1533-position model. The record is from RNAcentral.